Molecule: ribosomal RNA, 440 nt
Filed under: uncultured bacterium
Lineage: Bacteria
Description: partial 16S ribosomal RNA
Rfam family: Bacterial small subunit ribosomal RNA
Source: RNAcentral
CCUACGGGUGGCAGCAGUGGGGAAUAUUGCACAAUGGGGGGAACCCUGAUGCAGCGACGCCGCGUGCGUGAAGAAGUACUUCGGUGUGUAAAGCUGUAUCAGCAGGGAAGAAAAUGACGGUACCUGAGUAAGACGCCCCGGCUAACUCCGUGCCAGCAGCCGCGGUAAUACGGAGGGUGCGAGCGUUAAUCGGAAUUACUGGGCGUAAAGCGGUCGUAGGCGGUAUGUCAAGUCAAGGGUGAAAUCCCCGCGCUCAAAGUGGGAACUGCCUUUGAAACUGGCAAACUGGAGUGUGUGAGAGGAUAGUGGAAUUCCAGGUGUAGGAGUGAAAUCCGUAGAUAUCUGGAGGAACAUCAGUGGCGAAGGCGACUAUCUGGCACACAACUGACGCUGAGGAGCGAAAGCGUGGGUAGCAAACAGGAUUAGAUACCCCUGUAGUC